RNAcentral lists this ribosomal RNA (492 nucleotides) under uncultured bacterium. RNAcentral's name for it is "partial 16S ribosomal RNA". It matches the Rfam family "Bacterial small subunit ribosomal RNA", at positions 29 to 507 of the family's 1533-position model. The record is from RNAcentral.
AGUGAACGCUGGCGGUAGGCCUAACACAUGCAAGUCGAACGGCAGCACAGUAAGAGCUUGCUCUUACGGGUGGCGAGUGGCGGACAGGUGAGGAAUACAUCGGAAUCUACUUUUUCGUGGGGGAUAACGUAGGGAAACUUACGCUAAUACCGCAUACGACCUACGGGUGAAAGCAGGGGAUCUUCGGACCUUGCGCGAUUGAAUGAGCCGAUGUCGGAUUAGCUAGUUGGCGGGGUAAAGGCCCACCUAGGCGACGAUCCGUAGCUGGUCUGAGAGGAUGAUCAGCCACACUGGAACUGAGACACGGUCCAGACUCCUACGGGAGGCAGCAGUGGGGAAUAUUGGACAAUGGGCGCAAGCCUGAUCCAGCCAUACCGCGUGGGUGAAGAAGGCCUUCGGGUUGUAAAGCCCUUUUGUUGGGAAAGAAAAGCAGCAGGUUAAUACCCCGCUGUUCUGACGGUACCCAAAGAAUAAGCACCGGCUAACUUCGUG